This 942-nucleotide ribosomal RNA is filed under the name Atlantibacter hermannii. RNAcentral describes it as "bacterial SSU rRNA". It matches the Rfam family "Bacterial small subunit ribosomal RNA", at positions 533 to 1477 of the family's 1533-position model. Lineage: Bacteria; Pseudomonadati; Pseudomonadota; Gammaproteobacteria; Enterobacterales; Enterobacteriaceae. The record is from RNAcentral.
GGGGGACGUUAUCGGGAUUACUGGGCGUAAGCGCACGCAGGCGGUCUGUCAAGUCGGAUGUGAAAUCCCCGGGCUCAACCUGGGAACUGCAUCCGAAACUGGCAGGCUUGAGUCUUGUAGAGGGGGGUAGAAUUCCAGGUGUAGCGGUGAAAUGCGUAGAGAUCUGGAGGAAUACCGGUGGCGAAGGCGGCCCCCUGGACAAAGACUGACGCUCAGGUGCGAAAGCGUGGGGAGCAAACAGGAUUAGAUACCCUGGUAGUCCACGCCGUAAACGAUGUCGACUUGGAGGUUGUGCCCUUGAGGCGUGGCUUCCGGAGCUAACGCGUUAAGUCGACCGCCUGGGGAGUACGGCCGCAAGGUUAAAACUCAAAUGAAUUGACGGGGGCCCGCACAAGCGGUGGAGCAUGUGGUUUAAUUCGAUGCAACGCGAAGAACCUUACCUGGUCUUGACAUCCACAGAACUUUCCAGAGAUGGAUUGGUGCCUUCGGGAACUGUGAGACAGGUGCUGCAUGGCUGUCGUCAGCUCGUGUUGUGAAAUGUUGGGUUAAGUCCCGCAACGAGCGCAACCCUUAUCCUUUGUUGCCAGCGGUCCGGCCGGGAACUCAUAGGAGACUGGCAGUGAUCAACUGGAAGAAGGUGGGGAUGACGUCCAGUCAUCAUGGCCCUUACCACCAUGGCUACACACGUGCUACCAUGGCGCAUACCAAGAGAAUCGAACUCCCCAGAGCAAACGUACCUCAUCAAGUGCGACCUAAUCCGGAAUGGAGUCUGCAACUCCACUCCAUGAAGUCCGAAUCGCUAGUAAUCGUGGAUCAGAAUGCCACGGUGAAUACGUUCCCCGGCCUUGUACACACCGGCCGUUACACCAUGGGGAGUGGGUUGCAAAAGAAGUAAGUAGCUCAACCUUCCGGAGGGCGCUUACCACUUUGUGAUUCAUGCUG